UACAGAGGUCUCAAGCGUUGUUCGGAUUCAUUGGGCGUAAAGGGUGCGUAGGCGGCGCGGUAAGUCGGGGGUGAAAUCUCGGAGCUUAACUCCGAAACUGCAUUCGAUACUGCCGUGCUUGAGGACUGGAGAGGAGAGUGGAAUUUACGGUGUAGCGGUGAAAUGCGUAGAUAUCGUAAGGAAGACCAGUGGCGAAGGCGGGUCUCUGGACAGUUCCUGACGCUGAGGCACGAAGGUCAGGGGAGCAAACGGG
RNAcentral lists this ribosomal RNA (253 nucleotides) under uncultured bacterium. RNAcentral's name for it is "partial 16S ribosomal RNA". It matches the Rfam family "Bacterial small subunit ribosomal RNA", at positions 524 to 776 of the family's 1533-position model. The record is from RNAcentral.